AUUAAACGCUGGCGGCAUGCCUUACACAUGCAAGUCGAACGGCAGCACGGGGGCAACCCUGGUGGCGAGUGGCGGACGGGUGAGUAAUACAUCGGAACGUGCCCUGGAGUGGGGGAUAACGCAGCGAAAGCUACGCUAAUACCGCAUAUUCUGUGAGCAGGAAAGCAGGGGAUCGCAAGACCUUGCGCUUUGGGAGCGGCCGAUGUCGGAUUAGCUAGUUGGUGGGGUAAAGGCCUACCAAGGCGACGAUCCGUAGCGGGUCUGAGAGGAUGAUCCGCCACACUGGGACUGAGACACGGCCCAGACUCCUACGGGAGGCAGCAGUGGGGAAUUUUGGACAAUGGGCGCAAGCCUGAUCCAGCCAUUCCGCGUGCAGGAUGAAGGCCUUCGGUUGUAACUAGCUUUUGUUACGGAACGAAACGGCGAGCUCUAAUACAGUUUAGCUAAUGACGGUGCCGUAAGAAUAAGCACCGGCUAACUACGU
Molecule: ribosomal RNA, 484 nt
Filed under: uncultured bacterium
Lineage: Bacteria
Description: bacterial SSU rRNA
Rfam family: Bacterial small subunit ribosomal RNA
Source: RNAcentral